UGUUGAAAAUAAUUUCUCCACCCAAUGGCAUCUAUCGAGGUAUCUCUAAAGCCAAUGCAUUUAACUUUGUGUGUAAUAGCGUUGGAAGCACCCAAGUUUGGGUCCUCUGAAUAUCAUUGUGUUACAGACACAACUCAAUUUAAAACAAAAAUUAUGUUUUUUUACUACUUCUGUAAAAUGUAAAUUCUAGAACCUUUAGCCAGUAAUUCGGGAUUGGUUGAUACAAUGAGCCGCCGAACCUUUGCUUCUGAUUAUUUUGUUUAACAUGUUCAAUUAUUUGUAUGUCUUAAAUUAACAGACCUCAAAUUUUAACUGGGGUUGCCAGUUCACUAGAAGCAUGACAAAUUAUCUUCUAAAAAGUAGUAAUACUGUUAAAUGGUAUAUGGUCCUGAUGAAGUAGUAAUAACCUAAAUUUAGACCUCUCUCUCAUUAUAUCAUUCUGAAGUAAUGACCUAAAUUUAUAAUAGCCGUAAGGUAUGAGUUCUCCAGAAGUUUUUCAUUGUUACACUGGAAUCAACUUAAUCGAACGUCAGUGCCAAAUUAAUCUACAGAUUGGCUGUAUGUGUGGAAUUAGAUUUAUUGUGAAACUUGUACUGCCUGAAUGUGUCAGCAGGAACUAAUUUAGAUAACAGGUGCAUAUGAACAAUAAUUCUGUGAUAUUUCAAAUAUCAGACUGACAAGAUGAGAUAUGAAAAAGAACAUCAACCUGUUGACCUUUUAAAAUGAGACUUUGAAGCAUCCUGUGUUAGACCUUUGGUUCCUCUGUCAUCAUCUAGACCUUUGAGUCUUGUAUCAUAUGGAACCCCCUGUUGGUGUCCAGUGGAGAAGGGACAAACAUUGAGUACAUCCCAAUUGACAAACAUUGAGUAAUGUAUGAAAAAUGCUUCAGUUAAAUUGCAAUUCACUCAGUAUUUAGCUUGUAAUAAGUACUCUUGAGUUUUGUUUCAUCCAAAUCAGAUACAGAAUUCCAUCAUAACAAUAUAGCAGAUUAGCAGGCUUCUAGAAUGAAAAGCUUGGCUACAAAGCACAUGAGGACUGAACAAACAAAACCUAGCUUUCUUUUCUUCAUAUAAACUUAAUACUUCAGAUAAAUCGUUCUGCUAUAUGGAAGUGAGACCUAAGCCCAAGACUUACCAGAGCAGGUUGGGCGGCAGCUUGGCAGCCGGAGCAGGCUUCUAUACCUCGGCGUUCUAGGCCGCCGCGGCCAGGAGCUACGUCGGGCAGGCUGGCGUCAUCGCUGAGGUUGGACACCGGCGGCAGUGUCGAUACAGGGGAGACCGGAAGCGUUGGUGGCAGCGUGAGGUCGUAUCGGAGGUGGAGGCUGCGGGGCGAGCCGUGGUGGGGAGAGGAUGCCGAGGGCGAGUCGUGGUGAGGAGAGGAGGCGGCAGGGAGAAGCGACAUGUGCGAGGCUGUGAGGUGGGCAGAGUGGAUGAUGUGCGGUGAGAGGGCUGGAUUUUUUCUGAUAACUAAUGCUUCUUUAUUUUUUUUAUUGAGAAACACAUCUUUAUUAUUUCUAUAAGUGUGGCUACUGUGCGUGCCGGCGAGAGAAGUGUCAAACAGGCCCAACAAGCGAAUGCCCGUACGAGCCUAGGUAGGUCUGGAAGCGGCUCACUCCUCUCAAGAAAUACAGGAGCUGAUCUAGAAGACGAGUGAAUCCUCUUCGCACAAAACGGGUGCGUCCUUGCAUCCAGCAGUCUGCCAAAAAAAUUAUACAUAUUUCACAUGAUUAUAUAUAAUUUUUGUUUGAUAUAUGUCUCAUUUUCACAAAAUAGACUUAAAAAAGGAAUUAUGUUCAUUGCUAUGAAAAUGACGACCUCAGUAAGCAUGGACACAAACAUGACGGGUCGGAGGUGCAUAUAAGUAAGAGAAAUAUAUUUUUCUAUGCAUGUUAAUAAUUACUUUACCGAAAUACAAUUCAAGUGAAGUGGUUUUUAAUUAUUUUUCUAAUGUUAGUGGUUAUCUUUUAUAUAGACGUAAAAUUUGACAUAUAUAUUAUGUCAAUUAUGAUUUUUGUACUCAUUUGAUUUGUAUAUUUUUCAGUAAUUAAUUUAAUUUUAUAUCAUGUCAACUCAGUUGAUCAAUGUUUGAGACGUGCACUCAGUUGAUUCCUUUAUAUUAUUCCAAAGGCUUGGCAAUGAAUUUGAAUUAAAGUUAUGAACAUGAUUCACCGGAAAUUGGAAGAAGGACGUCAUGAAUUUGUAAUUAUAGGAAAUUGUACUUUCUAGGUUUUUUUAUGGUCUUGCUUCUAAAUUCGAUUUUAUCUUGGGUGGAUUUUCAAAGCAGGCAUGGGUAUUGUCCUUUUUGCUUAGCAUGCCUUCUUUACUGGUAAAGAAACACAUUA
Molecule: long non-coding RNA, 2341 nt
Filed under: Triticum aestivum (bread wheat)
Lineage: Eukaryota; Viridiplantae; Streptophyta; Magnoliopsida; Poales; Poaceae
Description: long non-coding RNA (TAES_LNC014778)
Source: RNAcentral